Molecule: ribosomal RNA, 254 nt
Filed under: uncultured bacterium
Lineage: Bacteria
Description: partial 16S ribosomal RNA
Rfam family: Bacterial small subunit ribosomal RNA
Source: RNAcentral
UACGUAGGCAGCGAGCGUUGUUCGGAGUUACUGGGCGUAAAGGGUGUGUAGGCGGUUGUUUAAGUUUGGUGUGAAAUCUCCCGGCUCAACUGGGAGGGUGCGCCGAAUACUGAAUGACUUCGAGUGCGGGAGAGGAGAGUGGAAUUGCUGGUGUAGCGGUGAAAUGCGUAGAUAUCAGGAGGAACACCGGUGGUGUAGACGGCUCUCUGGACCGUAACUGACGCUGAGACACGAAAGCGUGGGUAGCAAACAGG